UCUCUCCCUUAAGAAAACAUUUCAUUUCCCAUCAGAUCUGAACACUAGUCUUGGUGAUCAUAAAAGGAGAAAAAGGGAUACUGGAGUUGGCCUCACAGUUUCACAGUCUGGCAUAUAACAUGUGGGCUGGUUACAAACAGGA
This 142-nucleotide small nucleolar RNA is filed under the name Castor canadensis (American beaver). RNAcentral describes it as "Small nucleolar RNA SNORA61 (ENSCCNG00000013519.1)". It matches the Rfam family "Small nucleolar RNA SNORA61". Rfam says of the family: ACA61 is a member of the H/ACA class of snoRNA that guide the sites of modification of uridines to pseudouridines. The record is from Rfam by way of RNAcentral. Lineage: Eukaryota; Metazoa; Chordata; Mammalia; Rodentia; Castoridae.